Molecule: unclassified non-coding RNA, 402 nt
Filed under: uncultured Diversispora
Lineage: Eukaryota; Fungi; Glomeromycota; Glomeromycetes; Diversisporales; Diversisporaceae
Description: sequence contains 28S rRNA gene
Source: RNAcentral
AGUUAAAUAGUACGUGAAAUUGUUGAAAGGGAAACGAUUGAAGUCAGUCAUGCUACUGAAAAUUCAGUUUGGUGGGUUUUGGGUUCAGGAGUUGAGGCAGGGUCAAACCGUUUCUCUUUUGAACUUGGAAUUUGUCAGAUGCACUUUUUCUUUGGCAGGUCAGCGUCGAUUUCGGAGGUUGUAAAAUACUUGGGGAAAAGUAGCUCUGCUUCGGGAGAGUGUUAUAGACCUUGGGUGAUGCGGCCUGCGGGAUCGAGGAUUGCAGCAAAUGCUUUUGGCUUGUCGCCUGAUCUCUGGACGUCAUCUCGCUUGUAUCAACAUUCUUGGUACCGGUGAGUAAUGGUGCUCAUAGGUUAGAGCGAUCAAAAAUUUUGCUAAGGAUGCUGACGUAAUGGCUUUAAA